This 468-nucleotide ribosomal RNA is filed under the name uncultured bacterium. RNAcentral describes it as "partial 16S ribosomal RNA". It matches the Rfam family "Bacterial small subunit ribosomal RNA", at positions 28 to 507 of the family's 1533-position model. The record is from RNAcentral.
GACGAACGCUGGCGGCGUGCUUAACACAUGCGAGUCGAACGGAAAGGCCCUGCUUUUGUGGGGUGCUCGAGUGGCGAACGGGUGAGUAACACGUGAGUAACCUGCCCUUGACUUUGGGAUAACUUCAGGAAACUGGGGCUAAUACCGGAUAGGAGCUCCUGCUGCAUGGUGGGGGUUGGAAAGUUUCGGCGGUUGAGGAUGGACUCGCGGGUUAUCAGCUUGUUGGUGGGGUAGUGGCUUACCAAGGCUUUGACGGGUAGCCGGCCUGAGAGGGUGACCGGCCACAUUGGGACUGAGAUAGGGCGCAGACUCCUACGGGAGGCAGCAGUGGGGAAUAUUGCACAAUGGGCGGAAGCCUGAUGCAGCAACGCCGCGUGCGGGAUGACGGCCUUCGGGUUGUAAACCGCUUUCGACUGUGACGAAGCGUGAGUGACGGUAGUGGGUAAAGAAGCACCGGCUAACUACGUG